CAAAAUCAAAAAGGCAGUGCGCCACGAGAACCAUGCGUAUCUGCUAUGCAUAUAAGAAAAUGAAUGAAAUAAUAAACAAGUUAAGGGGAUAGACAUAUGUCUUUAGUUUACAUGUAAAUUUCCCUGUCUCAAACUUUAUUAGCUGGAAUAGUCACACAUCAUAAAAAAUGUUUAUGUCACGUGAAAAACCACCACCAAAUAUAAAAACAAUGAAAUACUAAUAUGAAUAUUUGUUUCUCAACUUUUUGUAAUCAGAUCGUUUAGAUAUCCGUAUAA
RNAcentral lists this long non-coding RNA (276 nucleotides) under Brassica napus (rape). Its description in RNAcentral is "long non-coding RNA (BNAP_LNC020318)". The record is from RNAcentral. Lineage: Eukaryota; Viridiplantae; Streptophyta; Magnoliopsida; Brassicales; Brassicaceae.